Molecule: ribosomal RNA, 497 nt
Filed under: uncultured bacterium
Lineage: Bacteria
Description: partial 16S ribosomal RNA
Rfam family: Bacterial small subunit ribosomal RNA
Source: RNAcentral
GAUGAACGCUGGCGGCGUGCCUAAUACAUGCAAGUCGAGCGAACGGACGAGAAGCUUGCUUCUCUGAUGUUAGCGGCGGACGGGUGAGUAACACGUGGAUAACCUACCUAUAAGACUGGGAUAACUUCGGGAAACCGUAGCUAAUACCGGAUAAUAUUUUGAACCGCAUGGUUCAAAAGUGAAAGACGGUCUUGCUGUCACUUAUAGAUGGAUCCGCGCUGCAUUAGCUAGUUGGUAAGGUAACGGCUUACCAAGGCAACGAUGCAUAGCCGACCUGAGAGGGUGAUCGGCCACACUGGAACUGAGACGCGGUCCAGACUCCUACGGGAGGCAGCAGUAGGGAAUCUUCCGCAACGGGCGAAAGCCUGACGGAGCAACGCCGCGUGAGUGAUGAAGGUCUUCGGAUCGUAAAACUCUGUUAUUAGGGAAGAACAUAUGUGUAAGUAACUGUGCACAUCUUGACGGUACCUAAUCAGAAAGCCACGGCUAACUACGUG